AGACGAGCAUGAGUGGAGCAGGAGACGGCUGUCCCCCACCCACAAGGAAUAUCAGAUGAUGGUUCAGCGAUCAUCACAUUGCCUCUCUGAAAGUGAUAAAUUGGCAGCUGGCACCAGGGAGAGGCUAUUUCCUGAUGGCCCACACCUGUUGCACUAAGAUGUUAAUCGAAUGCAGAUUCCAGGGAGAAACAACUUCCUGGGCAUGUGCGUAAGAGACAAAAUGGCAGUAAAAAUUAGAGAAUGAGAUCAGAAUAUGGAUACAUUGCAAGAGGUGGAGCCCUGGAACAAAAG
RNAcentral lists this long non-coding RNA (291 nucleotides) under Homo sapiens (human). Its description in RNAcentral is "non-protein coding LINC02232:34". The record is from RNAcentral. Lineage: Eukaryota; Metazoa; Chordata; Mammalia; Primates; Hominidae.